RNAcentral lists this ribosomal RNA (209 nucleotides) under uncultured bacterium. Its description in RNAcentral is "partial 16S ribosomal RNA". It matches the Rfam family "Bacterial small subunit ribosomal RNA", at positions 129 to 334 of the family's 1533-position model. The record is from RNAcentral.
CCUUUAGGUCUGACAUAAUUCCGCGAAAGCGGGGACUAAUAUCCAGAUGAUGCAGCGGCUCGGACAUCGAGACAGUUGUUAAACCUUCGGGGCCUAAAGAUGAGCCUGCGUCUGAUUAGGUAGUUGGCGGAGUAAAAGCCCACCAAGCCUGCGAUCAGUAGCUGGUCUGAGAGGAUGAUCAGCCACACUGGAACUGAGACACGGUCCAG